UACGAAGGGGGCUAGCGUUGCUCGGAAUCACUGGGCGUAAAGGGUGCGUAGGCGGGUCUCUAAGUCGGACGUGAAAUCCCUCGGCUUAACCGAGGAACUGCGUCCGAUACUGAAAGGCUUGAAUCCGGGAGAGGGAUGUGGAAUUCCAGGUGUAGCGGUGAAAUGCGUAGAUAUCUGGAGGAACACCGGUGGCGAAGGCGGCAUCCUGGACCGGCAUUGACGCUGAGGCGCGAAAGCUAGGGGAGCAAACGGG
Molecule: ribosomal RNA, 253 nt
Filed under: uncultured bacterium
Lineage: Bacteria
Description: partial 16S ribosomal RNA
Rfam family: Bacterial small subunit ribosomal RNA
Source: RNAcentral